UGAGGAAUAUUGGACAAUGGGCGAGAGCCUGAUCCAGCCAUCCCGCGUGCAGGAAGACGGCCUUAUGGGUUGUAAACUGCUUUUGUAUAGGAAUAAAUCGCUUCACGUGUGGGGUGUUGAAAGUACUAUACGAAUAAGCAUCGGCUAACUCCGUGCCAGCAGCCGCGGUAAUACGGAGGAUGCAAGCGUUAUCCGGAUUCAUUGGGUUUAAAGGGUCCGUAGGCGGGCUAAUAAGUCAGUGGUGAAAUCUUACAGCUCAACUGUAAAAUUGCCAUUGAUACUGUUAGUCUUGAGUGAUUUUGUUGUUGCUGGAAUGUGUAGUGUAGCGGUGAAAUGCAUAGAUAUUACACAGAACACCGAUUGCGAAGGCAGGUAACAAAGGAUUAACUGACGCUGAGGGACGAAAGCGUGGGGAGCGAACA
RNAcentral lists this ribosomal RNA (422 nucleotides) under uncultured Bacteroidota bacterium. RNAcentral's name for it is "bacterial SSU rRNA". It matches the Rfam family "Bacterial small subunit ribosomal RNA", at positions 355 to 774 of the family's 1533-position model. Lineage: Bacteria; Pseudomonadati; Bacteroidota. The record is from RNAcentral.